This 293-nucleotide unclassified non-coding RNA is filed under the name uncultured fungus. RNAcentral describes it as "partial contains small subunit ribosomal RNA, internal transcribed spacer 1, and 5.8S ribosomal RNA". The stretch from base 1 to 73 matches the Rfam family "Eukaryotic small subunit ribosomal RNA", at positions 1759 to 1831 of the family's 1831-position model. Lineage: Eukaryota; Fungi. The record is from RNAcentral.
GCAAACUUGGUCAUUUAGAGGAAGUAAAAGUCGUAACAAGGUUUCCGUAGGUGAACCUGCGGAAGGAUCAUUAUAAAAUUUUGUAAAGUGAUCCUGCCGCCGAAAGGCGGGAGGAUCGCUUUAUAAAAAAAUCUCUUGAUUCACUCUGUGUGCACUCAUCUGGAACCAUUCUCUCUUUACUGAGGAAUGGCUCCAUUUCUUACGCUUUACUUUUUGUCUGAUCUUCUAAAAAAAAUGAUAAUACAACUUUCAACAACGGAUCUCUUGGCUCUCGCAUCGAUGAAGAACGCAGC